CUAACUGGAGGACCGAACCGACUAAUGUUGAAAAAUUAGCGGAUGACUUGUGGCUGGGGGUGAAAGGCCAAUCAAACCGGGAGAUAGCUGGUUCUCCCCGAAAGCUAUUUAGGUAGCGCCUCGUGAACUCAUCUUCGGGGGUAGAGCACUGUUUCGGCUAGGGGGUCAUCCCGACUUACCAACCCGAUGCAAACUACGAAUACCGAAGAAUGUUAUCACGGGAGACACACGGCGGGUGCUAACGUCCGUCGUGAAGAGGGAAACAACCCAGACCGCCAGCUAAGGUCCCAAAGUCAUGGUUAAGUGGGAAACGAUGUGGGAAGGCACAGACAGCCAGGAUGUUGGCUUAGAAGCAGCCAUCAUUUAAAGAAAGCGUAAUAGCUCACUGGUCGAGUCGGCCUGCGCGGAAGAUGUAACGGGGCUAAACCAUGCACCGAAGCUGCGGCAGCGACACUUAUGUGUUGUUGGGUAGGGGAGCGUUCUGUAAGCCUGCGAAGGUGGCCUGUGAGGGUUGCUGGAGGUAUCAGAAGUGCGAAUGCUGACAUAAGUAACGAUAAAGCGGGUGAAAAGCCCGCUCGCCGGAAGACCAAGGGUUCCUGUCCAACGUUAAUCGGGGCAGGGUGAGUCGACCCCUAAGGC
This 639-nucleotide ribosomal RNA is filed under the name Klebsiella sp. X1-16S-Nf21. RNAcentral describes it as "bacterial LSU rRNA". It matches the Rfam family "Bacterial large subunit ribosomal RNA", at positions 762 to 1397 of the family's 2925-position model. The record is from RNAcentral. Lineage: Bacteria; Pseudomonadati; Pseudomonadota; Gammaproteobacteria; Enterobacterales; Enterobacteriaceae.